GGUCACGGAAAGGAUCUACAUUUACAUAUGUUGAUUAAGUUAGGCAGAUUCUCCCAUUUCAUGGACUUAUGGCAUCAAUCACAUUUAUUAGCCCACAUCUAAGGAAGGGAAACGUUAUGCAAGAGUCUUUCUUCGGCCAAGAUUUUCUUCGAGCAACGUGAUUGCGCUGAGCUUUUCAUACGACUUGUUCCAUGUUUUGUCACAAUUAACAUGUGUUGAAAGAUUAUUAAAAGAACCGGCUCAGGUCCCGAUAGACAGGUCGAGAACCCUCCAAGUAGGCUAUCA
This is a long non-coding RNA of Nicotiana attenuata, 285 nucleotides long. RefSeq lists it as uncharacterized. The transcript is spliced from 3 exons. NCBI's taxonomy places the organism in Eukaryota, Viridiplantae, Streptophyta, Magnoliopsida, Solanales, Solanaceae. The record is from RefSeq and is a predicted model, not a curated record.